GCGUGCUGAUACUUUACCAAGGUGCAGGAAGACAUGGACCCACAUGGCAAGGUUUGCAGAAGGAGUAAUGAAAAAAAAAAAAAAGUUUAUUUUUCCUUGUACUCUAUAAAGUCUAUCUCAUUCAAUAAGUCUAUACAUGUAAAUAUCUCUGUGACACUAAUAAAUAUGUCAUAGGUUGGUAAAUUUGAUUUACAUUCUAAAUAAAAAUUCUGAUAUAAUAUUGAAUCCUUGCGAAUUAUUUUCAUUGGUGAUUGAUUUGAUGGGUGAUUAUGUUUUUAGGAAUUUAAAGUGUGUGUAAUCAGAUAUCCAUUAAUUAAAAACUAUUUAAUUGAGUGCCUAUAGUUGAGUAUCCACAGUACCUACAAAAAAUCUUUAUGCUACUUUUUCAAGGCUUUUACACAUGAGAGAAAGAAGCAGACAAAUAACUAAUCUUAAGACAGUGUGACAAGUGCUAUAAAAGGAAUGUAAAUGGUAAUAUUAGAUCAGAGAGUAAGGUUACUUUACCUCCCUUCUGUGGAAAGAUCCAGAAGGCCUCCCUAGAAGGUGAAACUUAAUCUGAUGUUUGAUGUUUUUAUUUAACCAUUAACCAGAAUGGGUUGAAAAAGGGUGAAGGUUAUUCUUGGAAGCAAAGCAAUUUAGCCCAAAGUCAUGCAAGAGAAGAACCCAACUUCUCAGAGAGCUGUAAAUAUACUAGCUUGAUUCUGGGGGUUCAUGUGCAGAUUUCUUACCUGGGUGUAUUGUGUGAUGCUGAGGUUUGGAGUUCAAUUGAUUUCAUCACCCAGGGAAUUGUGCUGCGCUGACCCUCAAGACAGCAGUUCUCACCCAGACACAUUCAUUCUCCACCUUCUUCGUAAGUUGCUCUCCUUACUUACCAAGCCAGCGCUGCUUCCUUUCUCUCUCCGCUUCCCUCCUCAGAGACUUCAUGCUCACUUUCCCCAAAUUUGUACUGCAUUGAUUCCUUCUCAUCAUUCAUGCCUCAAUUUAAAUAUUUACCAAUGACUGCUUCCCUGAUCAUGCAAUCUAAAAAGUAGCCCCACUUCCAUCAUUUUGAUCUCUGAUCUUUUCCUUUAUAGCACUUACAGACAUGUAUAAUCAUAUAUUCACUUGAGUGUAUGCUUGUUUAAUGUAGACCCCUUCCGCAACCCCCACUUUCCCGUAUAGACUGAAGGGAGGCAGGAACUGUGUCUGUCUUGUCUACUAUUAUAUUCCCAGUGCUGAGCCUUGUACCUGGCAUGUAGUAGGUGUUCAAUGAAUGAAAAAGUAAACAAGCCAGAAUAAUCGGACCCAGAAAUAUGCUGAAGGGAUAUAAAUGCCUAGCAAGAAGAAGGUUAGUAGGAAUAACUAUUAUUUGUGUGAUUUCAAGAUACAAAUGAUGAUAUAGGGAUAGAUACAGGGCCCUCUCGGGAAGCCAAAUGGCUGCACAAACAGUGUGGUAGGAACACAAUGUGGCCACUGUGUCUGUGCUGCUCUGAUUGGAUCUAAUGAUAAUUUUGUAAAUGCACCCAUGGUGAUUAGCAACUGGCUCAUACUGAAUAAACUCAUGACAGAUUUAUGUGUGCACUGCAAUGCCAACUUAUUCAUUCAUAAUACAAAAUAGAACUAUCAAGUCAACAUGCAGCUCAAUCACCCCCUAUAGGAGAGAGACAGGUAGCUAAAUUACAUCCAAAUGAUUAACUGCUCAGAAAAGAUUCCCGGUCACAAAUCACCUGUGCAGCUGAGAUACCAUCACCUUAGUCUAAGCUACCGUUGUCUUAUGUCUGCACUUUUGCAACAACCUCAUGACUGUUCUCUGCCGUCUCUGCCUCUCAAAUUCAUAAGGCACCCAGCAGCAAAAGUGUUCCUUUUAAAACACAAAUCCAGUUAGGUCCCUCCUCUAUUCAAAACCCUUCAGUAGCUCUCCAUUAUAUGAGAAGGAACUCCAGCCCUGACUUGUAACCAGUUUGUAAGGUUUGGUAUGAUGGGGCCCCUGCCUUCUCUCCAGCCUCAUCAAGUGCCCCUCUCCCCAGACCUUCAGACUCCCCAACACAGAGGUGUGUGUUCAGAUUUGAGAAUCUGACUAUACGAAUGGACAAUGGCCAGACCAUAAAUAAAAAUAGAACUCUGGGCCAGGUGUGGUGGCUCACGCCUGUAAUCUCAGCACUUUGGGAGGCCAAGGCGGGUGGAUCACAAGGUCAGGAGAUCAAAACUAUCCUGGCAAACACGGUAAAACCCCGUCUCUACUAAAAA
This 2226-nucleotide long non-coding RNA is filed under the name Papio anubis (olive baboon). RNAcentral's name for it is "lncRNA (ENSPANG00000037950.1)". Lineage: Eukaryota; Metazoa; Chordata; Mammalia; Primates; Cercopithecidae. The record is from RNAcentral.